ACGAUGGGGAUGCGUUCCAUUAGAUAGUAGGCGGGGUAACGGCCCACCUAGUCUUCGAUGGAUAGGGGUUCUGAGAGGAAGGUCCCCCACAUUGGAACUGAGACACGGUCCAAACUCCUACGGGAGGCAGCAGUGAGGAAUAUUGGUCAAUGGGCGCAGGCCUGAACCAGCCAAGUAGCGUGAAGGAUGACUGCCCUAUGGGUUGUAAACUUCUUUUAUAAAGGAAUAAAGUCGGGUAUGGAUACCCGUUUGCAUGUACUUUAUGAAUAAGGAUCGGCUAACUCCGUGCCAGCAGCCGCGGUAAUACGGAGGAUCCGAGCGUUAUCCGGAUUUAUUGGGUUUAAAGGGAGCGUAGAUGGAUGUUUAAGUCAGUUGUGAAAGUUUGCGGCUCAACCGUAAAAUUGCAGUUGAUACUGGAUAUCUUGAGUGCAGUUGAGGCAGGCGGAAUUCGUGGUGUAGCGGUGAAAUGCUUAGAUAUCACGAAGAACUCCGAUUGCGAAGGCAGCCUGCUAAGCUGCAACUGACAUUGAGGCUCGAAAGUGUGGGUAUCAAACAGGAUUAGAUACCCUGGUAGUCCACACGGUAAACGAUGAAUACUCGCUGUUUGCGAUAUACGGCAA
This 620-nucleotide ribosomal RNA is filed under the name uncultured bacterium. RNAcentral's name for it is "bacterial SSU rRNA". It matches the Rfam family "Bacterial small subunit ribosomal RNA", at positions 222 to 842 of the family's 1533-position model. The record is from RNAcentral.